RNAcentral lists this ribosomal RNA (253 nucleotides) under uncultured bacterium. RNAcentral's name for it is "partial 16S ribosomal RNA". It matches the Rfam family "Bacterial small subunit ribosomal RNA", at positions 524 to 776 of the family's 1533-position model. The record is from RNAcentral.
CACGUAGGAGGCGAGCGUUGUCCGGAAUCAUUGGGCGUAAAGAGCGCGCAGGCGGCUUGGCAAGUCGGGUGUGAAAUCCCGGGGCUCAACCCCGGGACUGCAUUCGAUACUGUCAGGCUAGAGGUAGGUAGGGGAGAUCGGAAUUCCUGGUGUAGCGGUGAAAUGCGCAGAUAUCAGGAGGAACACCGGUGGCGAAGGCGGAUCUCCGGGCCUUACCUGACGCUCAGGCGCGAAAGCUAGGGGAGCGAACAGG